This 253-nucleotide ribosomal RNA is filed under the name uncultured bacterium. RNAcentral describes it as "partial 16S ribosomal RNA". It matches the Rfam family "Bacterial small subunit ribosomal RNA", at positions 524 to 776 of the family's 1533-position model. The record is from RNAcentral.
UACGUAGGGGGCAAGCGUUAUCCGGAAUUACUGGGUGUAAAGGGAGAGUAGGCGGCAAGGUAAGCGAUAUGUGAAAGCCUUAGGCUUAACCUGAGGAUUGCAUAACGAACUAUCUAGCUAGAGUACAGGAGAGGAAAGCGGAAUUCCUAGUGUAGCGGUGAAAUGCGUAGAUAUUAGGAAGAACACCAGUGGCGAAGGCGGCUUUCUGGACUGAAACUGACGCUGAGGCUCGAAAGCGUGGGGAGCGAACAGG